RNAcentral lists this ribosomal RNA (1480 nucleotides) under metagenome. RNAcentral describes it as "bacterial LSU rRNA". It matches the Rfam family "Bacterial large subunit ribosomal RNA", at positions 1406 to 2911 of the family's 2925-position model. The record is from RNAcentral.
CCCUGAUAUUCGAUGGACAACGGUUUAAUAUUACCGUACUUUUUAUAGAUGCGAUGUGGGGACGGAGUAGUGACACUGCCGCGAACUGACGGAAUAGUUCGUUAAAGACUGUAGGUAUUAGAAUGGUAGGCAAAUCCGCCAAUCUAGCUGAACGUCGAUAGUACCGCAAGCCUUCGGGUGAGUGGAUAGUGCAGGUAAUCAGACUUCCAAGAAAAACCGCUAAGCUCCAGUCUAUAAAAACCCGUACCGCAAACCGACACAGGUAUCCGGGAAGAGAAUUCUAAGGUGCUCGAGUGAAUCAUGGCUAAGGAACUCGGCAAAAUGGCCCUGUAACUUCGGGAGAAGGGGCGCUGGUAGCAAUAUCAGCCGCAGUGAAAAGGCCCAGGCGACUGUUUAACAAAAACACAUGGCUUUGCAAAAUCGAAAGAUGAAGUAUAAGGCCUGACACCUGCCCGGUGCUGGAAGGUUAAGAGGGGAUGUCAUCCGCAAGGAGAAGCAUUGAAUCGAAGCCCCAGUAAACGGCGGCCGUAACAAUAACGGUCCUAAGGUAGCGAAAUUCCUUGUCGGGUAAGUUCCGACCUGCACGAAUGGUGUAACGAUCUGGGCGCUGUCUCAGCCAUGAGCUCGGUGAAAUUGUGGUCCCGGUGAAGACGCCGGGUACCCGCAACGGGACGGAAAGACCCCAUGCACCUUCACUACAAUUUAACAUUGACAUUGGAUACAGGAUGUGUAGGAUAGGUGGGAGGCUUUGAAGCGGCGUCGCUAGGCGUCGUGGAGCCAACGUUGAAAUACCACCCUUUUUGUAUUCGGUGUCUAACCCCGCCCAGCGGGGGACAUUGUUUGAUGGGUAGUUUGACUGGGGUGGUCGCCUCCAAAAAGGUAACGGAGGCUUUCAAAGGUAAGCUCAGUACGCUUGGUAACCGUACGCGGAGUGCAAUAGCAUAAGCUUGCUUGACUGUGAGGCAGACAAGCCGAGCAGGGUCGAAAGACGGAUAUAGUGAUCCGGUGGUUCUGCAUGGAAGGGCCAUCGCUCAAAGGAUAAAAGGUACGCUGGGAUAACAGGCUGAUCUCCCCCAAGAGCUCAUAUCGACGGGGAGGUUUGGCACCUCGAUGUCGGCUCGUCACAUCCUGGGGCUGGAGAAGGUCCCAAGGGUUCGGCUGUUCGCCGAUUAAAGUGGCACGCGAGCUGGGUUCAGAACGUCGCGAGACAGUUCGGUCCCUAUCUGUUGUGGGCGUAGGAAUUUUGAGUGGGGCUGACCUUAGUACGAGAGGACCGGGUUGGACUAGCCUCUAGUGAAUCUGUUGUUCCGCCAGGGGCAUUGCAGAGUAGCUACGCUGGGGAUAGAUAAGCGCUGAAAGCAUCUAAGUGCGAAACUAGCCACGAGAUGAGAAUUCCAUAUAGGACCGUAGAAGACUACUACGUCGAUAGGUUACAGAUGUAAAGCUGGUGACAGCACAGUCGAGUAAUACUAAUCAUCCU